RNAcentral lists this ribosomal RNA (492 nucleotides) under uncultured bacterium. RNAcentral describes it as "partial 16S ribosomal RNA". It matches the Rfam family "Bacterial small subunit ribosomal RNA", at positions 29 to 507 of the family's 1533-position model. The record is from RNAcentral.
AGUGAACGCUGGCGGUAGGCCUAACACAUGCAAGUCGAACGGCAGCACAGUAAGAGCUUGCUCUUACGGGUGGCGAGUGGCGGACGGGUGAGGAAUACAUCGGAAUCUACUUUUUCGUGGGGGAUAACGUAGGGAAACUUACGCUAAUACCGCAUACGACCUACGGGUGAAAGCAGGGGAUCUUCGGACCUUGCGCGAUUGAAUGAGCCGAUGUCGGAUUAGCUAGUUGGCGGGGUAAAGGCCCACCAAGGCGACGAUCCGUAGCUGGUCUGAGAGGAUGAUCAGCCACACUGGAACUGAGACACGGUCCAGACUCCUACGGUAGGCAGCGGUGGGGAAUAUUGGACAAAGGGCGCAAGCCUGAUCCAGCCAUACCGCGUGGGUGAAGAAGGCCUUCGGGUUGUAAAGCCCUUUUGUUGGGAAAGAAAAGCAGCAGGUUAAUACCCCGCUGUUCUGACGGUACCCAAAGAAUAAGCACCGGCUAACUUCGUG